Molecule: long non-coding RNA, 5882 nt
Organism: Trichomycterus rosablanca
Lineage: Eukaryota; Metazoa; Chordata; Actinopteri; Siluriformes; Trichomycteridae
Exons: 11
Source: RefSeq, a predicted model, not a curated record
CUCUCUUACGAGGCCUACUGCCACAAACAGGAAGUAGCUCUUACAACAAAAAGGAAACAGUCGGGUACAUCAAGGAGAAGAUCAGUGAGAAUCCCUCUCCAGAGAAAUCCAUCAAUCUGUUCCACUGUCUGAAUGAACUGAACGAUGAUUCUCUAGUGCAGGAAGUCCAAAAAUACCUGAAUAGAGAAGGUUCUGUUCAUCCGUCUGUCUCCUGCUCAGUGGUCAGCUCUGGUGUUUGUGUUGCUUAACUCGGAUCAGGACCUGGAUGAGUUUGAUGUAAGGAAACAUUAUCCAUCACAUGAAGGUCUUCUGAAGAUCCUGCCAGCGGUGAAAGAAUCGAGAAAAGCUAAGAGGAACUGCUUGAUCUCCGGAGUCUAAAGGGGACAACUACUGGAAAGGAUGUUUUUGAAGCUGUGUCAGAUGCAAUUGACCAGGGUGGACUUAAAUGGGACAAACUGUGUGGAAUAACAACGGAUGGGGCUCCAGUAAUGACAGGCAAGUGCAAAGGAAUGGCAUCUAUGGCAUGCGCCAAGGUGCGGGAGAGCGGAGGUGAGGCUGUCAAAAUGCACUGCAUCAUCCACCAAGAAGCCCUCUGUGCCAAGACAGUCCAGCUUGGCGAUGUGAUGAACACAGUUAUAAAAACUGUCAACAUAAUUUGGCACGAGGGCUCUACCACAGAGAAUUUUAAGCAUUACUCUCUGAUGUCGAUGCUGAAUACGGGGAUCUACUCUACCAUUCUGAAGUGCGCUGGCUCAGUCGUGGCUUCGUGAUGCAGCGGAUUUAUUCCCUGAGAUCAAAUAUCGACAAGUUUUUGAAAAGGGCAAGAAAAGGGCAGACCUCUGUAUGAGCUCAGUGACCCUUUAUGGUUGGCAGCAGACCUGGCUUGUUUAGUUGAUCUUACUGAUCACUGAACACCCUGAACAAGAAACUAUAAGACAAAGAGCAGCUGGUACCACAGCUGUAUGAGCACUUGAAAGCAUUCCGUGCGAAGCUCCGUCUCUUUGAGUCACAACUGCGCAACUUCAAUGUAGCGCACUUCCCCGCGCUGAACGAAAUCAAAUGCGCAUUUCCAAAGGCCAACCUCUCUGCUAAAAUGGGAGAAUAUGUGUCUGUGAUCACAUCUUUCAUUACAGAAUUUAGUCGGCGCUUUCAAGAUUUUGCUGUCAUUGAGAAGGAAAUCACACUGUUUGUGGCUCCAUUUUCAGUGGAUGCAGAAGAAGUGGAGGAGAGUCUGCAAUUAGAACUGAUCGAAAUGCAGUGUGAUGAUUCUCUGAAGAAUCAACAUCAGCUACCUGACUUCUACCAGAGCUUGGAAAAGGCCAAGUUUGCUCUGAUGAGACACCACGCAAAACAAAUGAUGAGUCUGUUCGGCUCAACAUACAUCUGUGAGCAGACAUUCUCUCUGUUAACGCUGAACAAAUGCAGAUUGAGAACCAGAAUGACCGACAGCCAUCUCUGUGACGUCCUUCGCAUCUCAACCACUAAACUUACUCCUGACCUGCCAGCUGUCCUACUGACCAAAGCGCAGCAUCACUGCUCCCACUGAGCGCAACAUUCUUCCCAUUACAGGACACUGAAGAGGGAUCAGCACCCUAAGAAACAAUCUGAGGCUGUCACUGAGAGAAUGACCGGUCAACCUUUUUGUAAAAAAAUUUAAUGAUAAUCUACUAAUGGAGAGCUGUGAUGGUGAUGUUCAAUUAUCAAAUGUAAUUUACCUGCAUUUGAUUGAUUUUGCCAAUAUUCAUGCAUUAGAAGUGCGACAGUAUACCUCACGUCUAGUGAGUGGCCCAGUCCUUUUUUUUCUGUAUGCGGCCCUCAGGAAAAAAAGUUUGGACACCCCUGCCCUAACCCUACCCCUAACCCUAGCUCUAACCCUAGCCCUAACCCUACCUCUAACCCUAGCUCUAACCCUAGGGUUAAAUAUUGUUGGUUUAUUGUUUGUUUUUCUUUUAAUCUUUUUUAUUAUUAUUUUUUUUUUCCUUUUAUUUUCCUAUACAACUGGACAAUAAUGUAUUGAUGAUCUCUAAGUGAUAGGAAGCCCUUAUAGGAUGCUCCGCCCUUCAUUUGUGAGAGUGCUCCACCCCAAACGCUCUUCAAAGAAGAAAGGAGCACCAUAGAAUCGCAAGCCAACAGUCCUCUGAUGAAGCAAUAACUUUUGCGAAACGUCAGGAUACAGAGGAUAUAGUAAACCACAAAUGGUGAAGUUUUUAUAGAUAUUUUUUAGAGAGAAUCUUUAAUAAAGGAUUGCUGCUUCCAACCGGUUGGGAACAAGGAUAACUCUUUUUCAUGGCUGGCACAUGACAAUGGACUGCUUUUCUUUUCUCUUUUUACUAAUCAUCUUUGCUGUAAAGGCUUUUAAGAGACUGCAUCUGGGAUUGUUUUUAAAGAGUGAGUACUCACAGAAGAUCUUCCUUCCUUGAUAAAAAAGAACUAAAGCUGCUUGAUUAGAGUCUCCAGCUGGUCUCCCUACAGAUCCUAGUGAAAGUGGUCAUAUGAGUUUGGGAAGAUUCUCAACAAGAAAAAGGUGCUAAACGCCUUCAUCUGGAGACAUGGCAAUCCACUGCAGGACCUCAGUCCUCUCAGGUUCAGGGUCGACCCCAGGGAUCCGGUCCAUUGGACGAGAGAGACGGCCGUACAGAUUUUUAACUUCUGGCUGGACCAGUUAAACUUUUAAACUCGGAAAAGCAAGGGCAUAGGACACAGAAGAGAUGUCCUGCAACAUACAUCAGCACUUGACUGUGACACACAAGGUCUCAGACCCGAAGGACAGAAAGAUUCUUCUGAGCCAGCACUCCAACAGGUAAUUCUUUCUCCGAUAGAGCUUUCUAACAUGAUGUGCUUCACAGAAAGCUUUCUGCAUCAAGAUACAGCGGACCUCUAAACUGCCCCAUGUGCCCAGCAAGAGAGCUGACUCACCUUGAUCAGCAUUUAGUAAAAUUCCACAAACCGCAGGCCACUGAAAUGAAGGAAAGAAUAAAAGCAGCAAAGAAAAUGUGCAUUAACAAAAAAUUGGCUAAUUAUCACAAACAGCAGGCAACUGGCAGCAUAACAGAGGUCACUAUGCUGAAGGAGAUAAUCAGAAAGAAACAAAGGAAAAUUUAUUUUCUAAGGGCUCAGCUAAAAGGGCAAAAAAUAAAGAGCUUAAAUAACAGAGGAUCUCAGGACUUCUCCAGUGUUGGGGAAAGAUCUGUUCAUUUCAGUCAGCCAAAUGACAAAAAAAGUGGAGGCAAAAGAAAGAAAAUACAACCAUCCUCACCUCAUUCUUCCAGUGAUGCUGAAACACAAUGCUGCCCCAAACAAGCUGUGGAAAAACCUGGAAAACAAAGAGCCACCUCGCCAUCAGCAGAUACUUCCAGUGAUGAUGACACAUCUUCCAGCUUCAGAGACUCUGUAGAAAGACCUGUACAGCAAGGAAUAAAAAAAAGAAAAUGUGUUUCAUCCUCACCAGAUUAUUCCAGUGAUGAUGAAACCUUUACUCGACUCAAAACUCCUGCACAGCACCCUGGAAGAAAAGGAAAGUUCACAUGAACAAUCUUUUCGACAUGUUCACAUCAGCCAAUCCAUUAUGAAGUUGGUCUUUUCCACACUGUCCAUGGAGCUCAAGUCACUGAGCAAACAAAUAGCUGUUCAUCAAGAGACUGUGCACGAGGAAAAAAAACGAGCGGCUGAUAAGCUUAGAUGACUUACAAAAAUUCAGAGAGGAAGCAAUGAAUACCAUUCCAAAUAUUUUGGAUGGCUUAAAAGCUGCACCUGACAACAUCAGCCUCCGGCAACUCGUGAUUGGGUUUUUGGCAGUUUAUGCAGGUUGCAUUUCAGGGCACCGUUCCUGCGUCUUUGCGAACAUGACCUCUAAAGACAUCGUCAGCUAAACUGGAAGAUAUGGAAGAGCACAAAUUGCCCUCACUAAAUCUGAGUUUGACUGGUUUAAAGACUUUGCCGAUCUACACCCACAGAUGCCACGCUACAGGGACAGCUGUGACACCCUUUUUUUUUUACCAGAACGGGGUCUGAAAUCCGAAAGAUUUCCAAUUUUGUUUCCUUGGCUUGGGUCUAUGCAGGGUUACGAAGGGACACAAACAUGACAGACAUACGGUCAUCUGUAGCCACCCACGGGAGUAAUAGUCUUGUGUUUACUUCACGUCAUCAUUUAUUUUGCUGUGUUAUAAUGUCAAUCUUGUGCACAGGCUAAAAAUAAUUUAACUCAAGAGGAGCGUGAGAAAGUUGUUGAAGCAAUGUGCCACAGCUUGAAAACAUCUGACAAAUUCUAUGUGGCCAGCUCGAGCCCGGCACACACUGUUAACGUUUGCUCGCUAGUGAGUAAAGCCUGUGAAGUCAACAUUCAGGAAGGAGAAGAGCCAGGCCAUGGAGACACUGAAGACACGGAGUACUGCAGGUACAACCAGAUUCAAAACCAGGUAAACGGUGAUAAUCAGAGGAGGAUCAGUGAGGAGCAGACCCACACCCAGCAGAUUCUGUCCAACAAAGGAUCUGAGGGAGAAGAGCUCAUGGAAGAAUCACAUGAGAGUUCUGAGACAGAAGAGUCAGGUGUUUGGCCUCCUGAAAGUGAAGAUGAGCUGAUGCAGCUGGUAUUCCUAAAACAAUAAACGACACUUCAACAUCAGUGGUGAUUUCUCUAAGACUGCAAGUGUAGCAGACUUGAACAGGUCGGACAGCUCAGGACACCAACCACACAGAGUCAGAAACUGGAAUCUUCACCAUUUAUUCUGAACAUGACAUGGGAGCACAAUUAGCGCGUACACACACACACACAGGUGCACACUCUCUCUCUCCCGUAUCAGCAUUCACCAUGCAACUGUGUAACUUUUUAUAUAUGUAUACAGUAUAUAUUAUAACCAUACCUAUGAAAUUUUAAACAUAUAGUACAAUAAGAAAUAUGUAAAUAUUAUAAUAUAUAGAUAUGUAUAUAUUAACAUUUUAUAAACAAAAACAACAAUAUAAAAAAAACAAAUUGCAUGUAAAUAAACAUACAUGACAUAUUACAAAUAAAAUCCGUACAAAUUAAUAACAUUAAACAGUAAAACCACAUUAAACAUACCUGAACAUGACAUGGGAGCACAAUUAGCGCGUACACACACACAGGUGCACACUCUCUCUCCCUGCACGAGGCAGAAAAAUAAACUCAUAUUAAACACAAAAAUCACGAUUAAAAUCACCACCUACACUUCGAAUUUAGUAAAAAAAAAAAAAAAACUUCAAAUCAAUCACAGUGCUUUAAUAGUAUAUUUUUAAACAAAAUUUUACAAUCUAUAGAGCUCUAGAAACAACGUCACGCAGCUUACCCGUAUCAGCAUUCACCUUGCGACUGUAAUUACAAAUUAAUUAAAAAAUACUAUUGCCACACAAGGAAAGCUCAGCUUUCCCUAAAAUGUCAAAAAUGAAAUGGUCAAAUAUGUACAGUUGUGUUAACAUUUCAUUGACUACAAAUGCGUUAGAACACGUUCAUCUUGAAGACGAGUUUGUUCAGAAUCAGCUACUUAUCACAAAUCGACUGACUCGAACUUCUCAUACAUUCCUGUAGCCUCAAUGCAUUUGCCCGCAGAAGCUGAGCGUCUCUUCACUUCGACAUGGGACCGUGUCCGUGGAGCUGGCCCCCCAUGUGGUCAGAAAUGGAAUAUAGAUAUUAUUAUUCGUUUGUGCUGCGUUUGUGCCGUAGGAAUCAUCGUUUGUGCUGGCACUGUUUUAGAGAAAUUAAGUAUUAUAUUUUAUUACCCGUGACGUCACCAGACCCCCAUCAAAGGCCAAAUUGCACCAAAAGCAUCUCAUUCGUUUGUGCUACGUUUGUGCUGGUUUGUGCUGCUGAAAGAAAUAUGUGUGCUAUUUUAAUUCUCAAGUUAUAGGCUAAAUCAUGUAUUUUUUAUAAA